Molecule: ribosomal RNA, 496 nt
Filed under: uncultured bacterium
Lineage: Bacteria
Description: bacterial SSU rRNA
Rfam family: Bacterial small subunit ribosomal RNA
Source: RNAcentral
CAGGCCUAACACAUGCAAGUCGCACGAGAAGGGGCAACCCUGAAAGUGGCGCACGGGUGCGUAACACGUAGAUAACCUGCCCUUUGGAGGGGGAUAACGUUCCGAAAGGAGCGCUAAUACCGCAUAAAGCAUUCUGGGGUUUGCUCUGGGAUGGCAAAGGUAGGGACCCGCAAGGGCCUAUCGCCGAAGGAGGGGUCUGCGGCCCAUCAGCUAGUUGGUGAGGUAAUGGCUCACCAAGGCAGAGACGGGUAGCUGGUCUGAGAGGAUGAUCAGCCACACUGGUACUGGAACACGGACCAGACUCCUACGGGAGGCAGCAGUGGGGAAUCUUGGUCAAUGGGCGAAAGCCUGAACCAGCGACGCCGCGUGAGUGAUGAAGGCCUUCGGGUUGUAAAGCUCUGUGGGGCGAGACGAAAACGCACAGUCUAAUAGGCUGUGUCUUGACGGUAUCGCCUUAGCAAGCACCGGCUAACUCUGUGCCAGCAGCCGCGGUAAU